UACGUAGGUGGCGAGCGUUGUCCGGAAUUACUGGGUGUAAAGGGUGCGUAGGCGGCUAAUUAAGUUAGUUGUGAAAACCUUAGGCUCAACUUAAGGAGUGCAACUAAAACUGGGUAGCUAGAGUGCAGGAGAGGAUGACGGAAUUCCCGGAGUAGCGGUGAAAUGCGUAGAUAUCGGGAGGAACACCAGUGGCGAAGGCGGUCAUCUGGACUGUAACUGACGCUGAGGCACGAAAGCGUGGGGAGCAAACAGG
Molecule: ribosomal RNA, 253 nt
Filed under: uncultured bacterium
Lineage: Bacteria
Description: partial 16S ribosomal RNA
Rfam family: Bacterial small subunit ribosomal RNA
Source: RNAcentral